GACGAACGCUGGCGGCGUGCCUAACACAUGCAAGUCGAGCGGGGAUUUAAGUGGAAGUUCUUCGGAAUGGAGAUUUAAAUUCUAGCGGCGGACGGGUGAGUAGCGCGUGAACAAUCUGUCCCGGACAGGGGGAUAACACUUGGAAACAGGUGCUAAUACCGCAUAAGACCACGGCCUCGCAUGGGGCUGAGGUAAAAGGAGCAAUCCGGUUCGGGGUGAGUUCGCGUCCGAUUAGCUAGUUGGUGAGGUAACGGCCCACCAAGGCGACGAUCGGUAGCCGGCCUGAGAGGGUGAACGGCCACAUUGGAACUGAGAGACGGUCCAAACUCCUACGGGAGGCAGCAGUGGGGAAUAUUGGGCAAUGGGCGAAAGCCUGACCCAGCAACGCCGCGUGAGGGAAGAAGGUUUUCGGAUUGUAAACCUCUGUCCUAUGGGACGAAGGAAGUGACGGUACCAUAGGAGGAAGCCCCGGCUAACUACGUG
This 483-nucleotide ribosomal RNA is filed under the name uncultured bacterium. RNAcentral's name for it is "partial 16S ribosomal RNA". It matches the Rfam family "Bacterial small subunit ribosomal RNA", at positions 28 to 507 of the family's 1533-position model. The record is from RNAcentral.